GAUCAUGGCUCAGGACGAACGCUGGCGGCGUGCUUAACACAUGCAAGUCGAACGAAGAGCGAUGGAAGCUUGCUUCUAUCAAUCUUAGUGGCGAACGGGUGAGUAACGCGUAAUCAACCUGCCCCUUAGAGGGGGACAACAGUUGGAAACGACUGCUAAUACCGCAUACGAUCCAAUCUCGGCAUCGAGGAUGGAUGAAAGGUGGCCUCUAUUUAUAAGCUACCACUGAAGGAGGGG
Molecule: ribosomal RNA, 237 nt
Filed under: uncultured bacterium
Lineage: Bacteria
Description: partial 16S ribosomal RNA
Rfam family: Bacterial small subunit ribosomal RNA
Source: RNAcentral